This is a long non-coding RNA of Eurytemora carolleeae, 357 nucleotides long. RefSeq lists it as uncharacterized. The record is from RefSeq and is a predicted model, not a curated record. NCBI's taxonomy places the organism in Eukaryota, Metazoa, Arthropoda, Copepoda, Calanoida, Temoridae. The transcript has 4 exons.
AGGAAUGAAGUGGAGAAUGUUAAGGAAAUAAAGGAUAAUCUAAAAGUCCUCGAACGGAAAGCAUUAACCCUGAAAGAAGAACUACUGGAAGCUGAAGGAGAGAAUAAAGCAUAUAAAAAUGAAUUAAACACAGAGAAAUAAUCUUUCAAACGAGUAAACAAAUUGAUCAGAUUAGGAUAAAGAUUUCUACAUUGAAGAAUGAACGGCACUGGAACGAAAAGAAAAUAAUGAAUCUCCAAACUGAAUGUACAGAUUUAAGUGGGCGAGCAUGUAUUACAAGUAGCUUAGUGUUGACUGCUGAACAACGAAUUCAGCAGAUGGAUGGUAUACUCUCAGCACACUGUGCGGCUUACAAUA